UUUUGUUUCAUUGGGUGCAACCUGCUUGCAUGUGACAGAAUAUCAAUGUUAGCUGUGAAUCAUUUACUUGUAAGGUUUGAGUCAAUGCCAUAUAUGGACACUUAUCGAGAGAUUAAUUUGCAUAAUGUAGUUCCGUCAAUUGGUCAUGCGAUUGUUGGGUGUGGCAGCUGCAGUGCUUCAGUGUCGCCUUGGAUGUCUCUGAAUCAACCUGCUUCAAACUUAACUGACUUCCAUUUGUGGCUGGGUGAUCCAAAGUACCAUGGCUGCACAAUCUGAAGCAGCCUGCCAGACUGAUGUCCCUACCAUGAUGCAACAGGAGGCACAGGUACCCACCCCCUCAGCUACAACAGAUUCCCCACAACGAACUGGAGCCAUUGUCAACAUACAUGUAGGCACAGUCAGCGGUAGCCACUGCCCUAUCAUUGCAGGUUCAAGUGAAGUUAGUUUCACUCACAGCUUGCCGUCGGAUGC
Long non-coding RNA from Patiria miniata (bat star), 471 nucleotides. RefSeq lists it as uncharacterized. The transcript is spliced from 3 exons. Lineage: Eukaryota; Metazoa; Echinodermata; Asteroidea; Valvatida; Asterinidae. The record is from RefSeq and is a predicted model, not a curated record.